This 465-nucleotide ribosomal RNA is filed under the name uncultured bacterium. RNAcentral's name for it is "partial 16S ribosomal RNA". It matches the Rfam family "Bacterial small subunit ribosomal RNA", at positions 28 to 507 of the family's 1533-position model. The record is from RNAcentral.
GACGAACGCUGGCGGCGUGCUUAACACAUGCAAGUCGUACGGUAAGGCCCUUUCGGGGGUACACGAGUGGCGAACGGGUGAGUAACACGUGAGUAACCUGCCCACAACUUUGGGAUAACGCUAGGAAACUGGUGCUAAUACUGGAUAUGUGCUACUGCUGCAUGGUGGGGGUUGGAAAGCUCCGGCGGUUGUGGAUGGACUCGCGGCCUAUCAGCUUGUUGGUGGGGUAGUGGCCUACCAAGGCGGCGACGGGUAGCCGGCCUGAGAGGGUGACCGGCCACAUUGGGACUGAGAGACGGCCCAGACUCCUACGGGAGGCAGCAGGGGGGAAGCUUGCACGAGGGGCGCAAGCCUGAUGCAGCAACGCCGCGGGCGGGAUGACGGCCUUCGGGUUGUAAACCGCUUUCAGCAGGGACGAAGCUUUUUGUGGCGGUACCUGCAGAAGAAGCACCGGCUAACUACGUG